AAAGCCUGAUGCAGCUAUGCCGCGUGUAUGAAGAAGGCCUUCGGGUUGUAAAGUACUUUCAACAAGAAAGAAAAGAUAAAAUCUAAUAUAUUUUAUUAUUGACGUUACUUGUAAAAGAAGCACCGGCUAACUCCGUGCCAGCAGCCGCGGUAAUACGGAGGGUGCUAGCGUUAAUCGGAAUUACUGGGCGUAAAGAGCACGUAGGCGGUUAAUUAAGUCAGAUGUGAAAUCCCUAAGCUUAACUUAGGAACUGCAUUUGAAACUAAUUAACUUGAGUUUCGUAGAGGGGGGUAGAAUUCCAGGUGUAGCGGUGAAAUGCGUAGAUAUCUGGAGGAAUACCAGUGGCGAAGGCGACCCCCUGGACGAAUACUGACGCUCAGGUGCGAAAGCAUGGGGAGCAAACAGGAUUAGAUACCCUGGUAGUCCAUGCUGUAAACGAUGUCGACUUGAAGGUUGUAAGCUUGACUUAUAACUUUCGUAGCUAACGCGUUAAGUCGACCGCCUGGGGAGUACGACCGCAAGGUUAAAACUCAAAUGAAUUGACGGGGGCCCGCACAAGCGGUGGAGCAUGUGGUUUAAUUCGAUGCAACGCGAAAAACCUUACCUGGUCUUGACAUCCAUGGAAUUUAAUAGAGAUAUUUAAGUGCCUUCGGGAACCAUGAGACAGGUGCUGCAUGGCUGUCGUCAGCUCGUGUUGUGAAAUGUUGGGUUAAGUCCCGCAACGAGCGCAACCCUUGUCCUUUGUUGCCAUCAGUUUAAGCUGGGAACUCAAAGGAAACUGCCGGUGAUAAACCGGAGGAAGGUGAGGACGACGUCAAGUCAUCAUGGCCCUUACGACCAGGGCUACACACGUGCUACAAUGGUAUAUACAAAGAGAAGCAGCCUCGUAAGAGUGAGCGGAUCUCACAAAAUAUAUCUUAGUUCGGAUUGGAGUCUGCAACUCGACUCUAUGAAGUCGGAAUCGCUAGUAAUCGUAGAUCAGAACGCUACGGUGAAUACGUUCCCGGGCCUUGUACACACCGCCCGUCACACCAUGGGAGUGGGUUGUAAAAGAAGUAAGUUGCUUAACCAUUAUUUUCGGAGGG
Molecule: ribosomal RNA, 1085 nt
Filed under: bacterium endosymbiont of Donacia semicuprea
Lineage: Bacteria
Description: bacterial SSU rRNA
Rfam family: Bacterial small subunit ribosomal RNA
Source: RNAcentral